RNAcentral lists this ribosomal RNA (332 nucleotides) under uncultured Chloroflexota bacterium. Its description in RNAcentral is "bacterial SSU rRNA". It matches the Rfam family "Bacterial small subunit ribosomal RNA", at positions 28 to 351 of the family's 1533-position model. The record is from RNAcentral. Lineage: Bacteria; Bacillati; Chloroflexota.
GAUGAACGCUGGCGGCGUGCCUAAUACAUGCAAGUCGAACGGAGAUCCGCAAGGGUCUUAGUGGCGAACGGGUGAGUAACGCGUUGGUAACCUGCCCUGGAGCGUGGGAUAACAGGCCGAAAGGCUUGCUAAUACCGCAUGCGCAGUAGAGGAAUAGCAGCUUUACUGUAAAGGGAGCCGUUCGCAAGAACGCUCUCGCUCUGGGAGGGGCCUGCGACCCAUCAGCUAGUUGGUAAGGUAACGGCUUACCAAGGCGAUGACGGGUAGGGGACCUGAGAGGGUGGCCCCCCACAAUGGAACUGAAACACGGUCCAUACACCUACGGGUGGCAG